GAAGCGACCGCUAUUGGAAUUCGAUUAAGCCAUGCGAGUCGAGAGUCUUAGGGACUCGGCGUACCGCUCAGUAACACGUGGGUAACCUGCCCUGUGCUGGGGAAUAACCUCGGGAAACUGAGAAUAAUGCCCCAUAAUUCACUACGCCUGGAACGGUGGGUGGAUCAAAGCUCCGGCGGCACAGGAUGGGCCUGCGGCGUAUCAGGUCGUAGGGGGUGUAAUGUACCCUCUAGCCUUCAACGCGUACGGGUUGUGGGAGCAAUCGCCCGGAGAUGGAUUCUGAGACACGAAUCCAGACCCUACGGGGUGCAGCAGGCGCGAAAACUUCACACUGCAGGAAACUGUGAUGAGGGAAUUCCAAGUGAUCAGCCUAAGGUUGAUCUUUUUGUAACUUUUAAUCGGUUGCAGAAUAAGGGGUGGGAAAGACCGGUGCCAGCCGCCGGUAAUACCGGCACCUCAAGUGGUCGUCGCUUUUAUUGGGCCUAAAACGUCCGUCGCCUGUUUGGUACAUUCGUGGGUAAAUCAAGCCGCUCAACGGCUUGAAUUCUGCGAGGACGGCCAGACUAGGGACCGGGAGAGGUAUGGGGUACUCUCAGGGUAGGGGUAAAAUCCAGUCAUCCUGAGGGGACCACCUGUUGCGAAGGCGCCAUACUAGAACGGAUCCGACGGUCAGGGACGAAGCCUAGGGGCACGAACCGGAUUAGAUACCCGGGUAGUCCUAGGUGUAAACGCUGUGGACUUGGUGUUGGGGAUUCUACGAGUAUCCCCAGUGCCGGAGUGAAGAUGUUAAGUCCACUGCCUGGGGAGUACGGUCGCAAGGCUGAAACUUAAAGGAAUUGGCGGGGGAGCACAGCAACGAGAGGAGCGUGCGGUUUAAUUGGAUUCAACGC
This 890-nucleotide ribosomal RNA is filed under the name uncultured Candidatus Poseidoniales archaeon. Its description in RNAcentral is "bacterial SSU rRNA". It matches the Rfam family "Archaeal small subunit ribosomal RNA", at positions 20 to 918 of the family's 1478-position model. The record is from RNAcentral. Lineage: Archaea; Methanobacteriati; Thermoplasmatota; Candidatus Poseidoniia; Candidatus Poseidoniales.